This 240-nucleotide unclassified non-coding RNA is filed under the name soil metagenome. RNAcentral describes it as "partial contains 5.8S ribosomal RNA, internal transcribed spacer 2, and large subunit ribosomal RNA". The record is from RNAcentral.
AACGGUCUAUACCUGCGGUACCUGCGGAGGGAUCAUUACUGAAUUGAUUUUGGGGAUGUUGCUGGUCUCUUGAGGCAAUGGUGCACUCCCUCAACAUUUCACAAUUUCCAUCUUACCCAUGUGCACAUCCUGUAGGUGGUCUCCCAACCCACCCUCCAAGGAAAGGGGGGGAGUGUGUGGGUCUGGUCUCCUAUGUAUUUCCUUGCCAACAUCACACGUUUUGACUGAAUGAAUCCUGUG